RNAcentral lists this ribosomal RNA (450 nucleotides) under uncultured bacterium. RNAcentral describes it as "partial 16S ribosomal RNA". It matches the Rfam family "Bacterial small subunit ribosomal RNA", at positions 354 to 796 of the family's 1533-position model. The record is from RNAcentral.
GUGGGGAAUCUUCCACAAUGGACGAAAGUCUGAUGGAGCAACGCCGCGUGAGUGAAGAAGGGUUUCGGCUCGUAAAGCUCUGUUGUCGGGGACGAAUGUGCAGUAUUUGAAUAAAGUAGUGCAAUGACGGUACCUGACGAGGAAGCCACGGCUAACUACGUGCCAGCAGCCGCGGUAAUACGUAGGUGGCAAGCGUUGUCCGGAAUUAUUGGGCGUAAAGGGAGCGCAGGCGGGAAGGUAAGUCGGUCUUAAAAGUGCGGGGCUCAACCCCGUGAUGGGAUCGAAACUAUCUUUCUUGAGUGCAGGAGAGGAAAGUGGAAUUCCUAGUGUAGCGGUGAAAUGCGUAGAUAUUAGGAGGAACACCAGUGGCGAAGGCGACUUUCUGGACUGUAACUGACGCUGAGGCUCGAAAGCCAGGGGAGCGAACGGGAUUAGAUACCCUAGUAGUCC